RNAcentral lists this ribosomal RNA (253 nucleotides) under uncultured bacterium. RNAcentral describes it as "partial 16S ribosomal RNA". It matches the Rfam family "Bacterial small subunit ribosomal RNA", at positions 524 to 776 of the family's 1533-position model. The record is from RNAcentral.
UACAGAGGGGGCUAGCGUUGUUCGGAAUUAUUGGGCGUAAAGGGCGCGUAGGCGGCCAUGCGUGUCUUCCGUGAAAUCCCUCGGCUUAACUGAGGACGUGCGGAAGAAACUGCAAGGCUCGAGUCCGGGAGAGGGGGGUGGAAUUCCCAGUGUAGCGGUGAAAUGCUUAGAUAUGACAUAGAACACCAAUUGCGAAGGCAGCUGGCUACGCAAAUAUUGACACUGAGGCACGAAAGCGUGGGGAUCAAACAGG